Long non-coding RNA from Oxyura jamaicensis (ruddy duck), 1185 nucleotides. RefSeq lists it as uncharacterized. The record is from RefSeq and is a predicted model, not a curated record. The transcript has 2 exons. NCBI's taxonomy places the organism in Eukaryota, Metazoa, Chordata, Aves, Anseriformes, Anatidae.
CACUACCCUUACAGUGAAGAAUUUUCUCCUAAUGUCUAAUCUAAAUCUAUUCUCUUACAGUUUAAGACUAUUCCCCCUUGUAAAACUAUCUGCCUGAGUAAAGAGUCCUCCAUCUUUUUUAUAAGACACCUUUAAUUAUUGAAAGGCUGCAAUGAGGUCUCUCUGGAGCCUUCUUUUCUCAUCUGUAAUACUAAUUUGUGCUAAAUAGCACUGUCAGAUAAGGAUCUGCAAGCCUUUCACAGACAGACUUCUCUUGUGCAUGAAGAAGAUUAACAUGCCUCUGCUUAACCCAGUUUAUGUCUGUAUUUUCCUAGAGAAAACAUUUUGAAAAGUGAGACUAGAUGCCAGUCUCCAUUUUUAAAUGCCACAAAACUUUCAAACUACAAUGCAUAUAAUUAUCUGAUAUGAUUUGAGCUGGAGAAGUGGCAGAAAUUUGGUAACAUUUAAGUCUUUUACUGAGAAUUUUCUGAUUCUUCUUAAUAGUUAAAACAAAACAACAACAACAAGCUAUGAAGUGAGGCAUUUUUCUGUUAAAAAAUAAUCAUUUCCAUGAACAAAGUUUAUUAGAAUUGUAUUCAGUUUUUCAAUUAAUCCAAUAAUAUUUAAGAUUAAUCAUUUUUUUUUGCAAAACAUAGAAAUUCCAAGUAAUAAUAUUUGACAAAACUGAAAAAGGUGGGAUGUAUGAUACCCAUUUUAUAAACAUUCAAAUUAUCUAUUCUGAUUAUUACAAUAUUAUUGUCUCCUUUAAAUUGCAAAGAAAUAGUACUCUCAUUCGUUGUAUUCUCAUUUGACUUCUAUAUUUUGUGAUUGUGUUAUGGUCUCUGGGCCUUCUCUUUAACCUUUCCCUUUUUAUUAUUAUUAUUUUUUAGUUCAUUUACAGGUUUUAACUAUAAUUUUCUCUCACUGUAUGUCACUGGAGUUAAAUAAAACACCAAAAAUAUUAUUCAAUGGCUGUAUGAAGUUGGUAACCAUAAUUCUGAAUGUGGAUCAUAAAUCUCAGUAAGGACUAGACAACUAAACCAAAAGUAACCUAUUAUUCCACAGGUGCAAAAUUUAGCAAACUACUGUGGAAGCUAUGGAAACUCCUACUACGUUUUGGAAGUGUGAAGUACUGUGUAACAUUAUCCAUAUAUCUAAUUUACUCUGCAAAGGGUUCAGAUGUCAGUGAGGAAAAUUUAUAAAUAA